GAUGAACGCUGGCGGCGUGCCUAAUACAUGCAAGUCGAGCGAACGGACGAGAAGCUUGCUUUUCUGAUGUUAGCGGCGGACGGGUGAGUAACACGUGGAUAACCUACCUAUAAUACUGGGAUAACUUCGGGAAACCGGAGCUAAUACCGGAUAAUAUUUUGAACCGCAUGGUUCAAAAGUGAAAGACGGUCUUGCUGUCACUUAUAGAUGGAUCCGCGCUGCAUUAGCUAGUUGGUAAGGUAACGGCUUACCAAGGCAACGAUGCAUAGCCGACCUGAGAGGGUGGUCGGCCACACUGGAACUGAGACACGGUCCAGACUCCUACGGGAGGCAGCAGUAGGGAAUCUGCCGCAAAGGGCGAAAGCCUGACGGAGCAACGCCGCGUGAGUGAUGAAGGUCUUCGGAUCGUAAAACUCUGUUAUUAGGGAAGAACAUAUGUGUAAGUAACUGUGCACAUCUUGACGGUACCUAAUCAGAAAGCCACGGCUAACUACGUG
RNAcentral lists this ribosomal RNA (497 nucleotides) under uncultured bacterium. RNAcentral describes it as "partial 16S ribosomal RNA". It matches the Rfam family "Bacterial small subunit ribosomal RNA", at positions 28 to 507 of the family's 1533-position model. The record is from RNAcentral.